ACUCAUUUCUCUUCUCUGAUUGAUUUCUCAGCCGCCUCUCUCACCUCAGUCCUCAGUCCUACAGUGAGCUUGUAUUAAUACAAGCUCACUGUAGCCUGAAUUGUAAAAAAAAAAAAAGUUUUUUAUUCUCACGACUCUCUCUCCGAACUCAGUUCUCUCCUCUUUCCUCUCUCUGUUCUCUCUCCCGAUGGAUGUGACCCGGCGAUGGUUCUGGUCCGACGAUGGUUCUGGUUCGGCAAUGGUGGUCCGAUAGUCAUGGGUCCGAUGUGGUCUGAUGGUCUCCCUCUGUUCUCUGUUCUUUGUUCUCUCUUCGUGGGUCGGAGUGUGGGUUUUUGGUUUGGAGCGUGGAUCGAAGGGUGGGUCUGAUUGUUCGUGGGUCGGAGCGUGGGUCUGAUUGUUCGUGGGUCAUCCUCCGCCGGGUUCCACUCCUUUAAUCGAAGAUUUCUCUCUCUCUUCACUCCGGUGAUCGCUGCCUCCUUGUUGGAUCCACUGGCGCUGUGCAUAUUUGUGGUGAAAGAGAGGCUUGCAUAUCUGCUCCAGUUUCAGAAGAGCAAGCAACUACAUUGGUCCCCUAGAUUGACAGAUUUAUUAGUUUUUGUGCUUCAGAGCAAAUUUGUUUGGACCCUGAAAAAUGUUUACAUCUUUACUCUGCAAGUGAAUUGUAUUUGAUGGGCACUAAUAUCAUUAAAUCACUCACAGUAAACAUAUUGAUGUUAAUAGUUGUCGGGGUUUCAGUCAUAUCUGUUUAUAUGAGGUUCAAGGAGCUGGUCAUUAUACUUGGAACGCCAAUGCAUGUGCAUGUGCAUGUGGAUCUGUUUCUGGCAGCUGUUUGGAAGCUUCAGAACUCCUCAGAACAUUUGACUACUUUGCAUCCACAUUUUCUUCAUAUUUGUUUAUUCAUAAAUUGUUCCAAAACUGGCCUAUCAAAUUGGGAGGAAGAUAUCUCUGAGGUUGAUCAUCUGGACGACCUUUUCCUCUACUGUUAUUAUGGGUUGUUACUGCUCCAAUGUCAACUCAAAAUUUCAUAGCUGUUGAAGCUUAAAAAAAAUACAUAUUGGUUUCUCUCAUUCACCAUGGGCAAGUAUGCUUCUUUUUUUUUACCCUUAUAUUGAUGGGGCUGAAGAGAAGGCUAUUAAAGAAAUAGAGGCAAAUAAUUCACAGCCGGGGUACAAUUUUUGGGCAACUAAAUUGCUGUCACUCUUUGAGACUAAUCAAAUUACUUAUUCUUUUUUUGGUGGCAAUUCUCUACCAGUCUUCCUAAGUACACUUCUUCAGCUGCUUGGAGAAAUCUAAAGAGCUUCUGUUAGUAUCUGCUUCCCAAUGCAUUUCUCUUCUUUCCAAGCAGAGAUCAGCCCUACAUUGAAUUGGCGAAUAGUUAUAGCACUGGGGAAAUUGCAGAAUUAGAGGCGAACAUCCAGACAAACAAGGAUAAUUUUAAAAGAGACCAAAAUCUUGGACUGGUGUAGCUGGCUGUACCUAGCAAAGGUUAGUCUAUCACUUCGUUAGUUGAACUUGUUCAUAAAAUAUUAAUCAUUUGGCACUAAUUACUUUAUUAUGUAUUAUCUUGUUUUAACCUUGUUAAUUACUUUUGCAGGUUAUAAAUUGUUAAAGUUUUGUUUUAAAAUAUUUCGUUUUAUUUAUUAGUUUAACAGGGAUCAAAUUAGUGAAUUGCCUGAACUUGUCAUCUCUUGCAUUUUAUCAAAGCUAACAAUGAAAGAUGUGGUUAAAAUUGGCAUACAAUCAAGGAGAUGGGUGAAUAUUCGGUUAUUGAGGACUGAUCUAAAUUUUGAUGUUCCUAUUAUUUUCCAUAGCAUUUGCUGAAAUUCAGCUAUUUUCAAUUUGUGUUUGGAAACAACAAAAAUUGGGAAAGCUCCCAUUUGACAAUGAAAUGUUAAACAUCCUAGUG
Quercus robur (English oak) is the source of this 1906-nucleotide long non-coding RNA. RefSeq lists it as uncharacterized. The transcript has 6 exons. Lineage: Eukaryota; Viridiplantae; Streptophyta; Magnoliopsida; Fagales; Fagaceae. The record is from RefSeq and is a predicted model, not a curated record.